GAGUUUGAUCCUGGCUCAGGACGAACGCUGGCGGCAGGCUUAACACAUGCAAGUCGAGCGCCCCGCAAGGGGAGCGGCAGACGGGUGAGUAAACGCGUGGGAACGUGCCUUUCAGUUCGGAAUAAGCCGGGGAAACCUGGUCUAAUACCGGAUACGCCCUUCGGGGAAAGGAUUAUCGCUGAAGAUCGGCCCGCGUCAGAUUAGGUAGUUGGUGGGGUAAGUGGCCGUACCAAGCCGAUGAUCUGUAGGUGGUCUGAGAGGACGAUCACCCACACUGGGACUGAGACACGGCCCAGACUCCUACGGGAGGCAGCAGUGGGGAAUAUUGGACAAUGGGCGAAAGCCUGAUCCAGCCAUGCCGCGUGGAUGAAGAAGGCCCUAGGUUGUAAAGUCCUUUCGGU
Molecule: ribosomal RNA, 401 nt
Filed under: uncultured Alphaproteobacteria bacterium
Lineage: Bacteria; Pseudomonadati; Pseudomonadota; Alphaproteobacteria
Description: bacterial SSU rRNA
Rfam family: Bacterial small subunit ribosomal RNA
Source: RNAcentral